This 253-nucleotide ribosomal RNA is filed under the name uncultured bacterium. RNAcentral describes it as "partial 16S ribosomal RNA". It matches the Rfam family "Bacterial small subunit ribosomal RNA", at positions 524 to 776 of the family's 1533-position model. The record is from RNAcentral.
UACGUAGGAUCCGAGCGUUGUCCGGAAUCACUGGGUGUAAAGGGUGCGCAGGCGGAUUUGAACGUCAGAGGUUAAAUGUCACCGCUCAACGGUGAACCUGCCUUUGAAACGGCAAGUCUUGAGUAUGAGAGAGGUAAGUAGAAUUCCUGGUGUAGCGGUGAAAUGCGUAGAUAUCAGGAGGAAUACCAGUGGCGAAGGCGGCUUACUGGCUCAUAACUGACGCUCAGGCACGAAAGCGCGGGGAGCAAACAGG